ACGGAGGGUGCAAGCGUUGUUCGGAAUUACUGGGCGUAAAGAGCGUGUAGGCGGUAUGGUAAGUCAGAUGUGAAAGCCCUGGGCUUAACCCAGGAAGUGCAUUUGAUACUGCUAUUCUUGAGUAUGGGAGAGGAGAGUGGAAUUCCCAGUGUAGAGGUGAAAUUCGUAGAUAUUGGGAGGAACAUCCGUGGCGAAGGCGACUCUCUGGACCAAUACUGACGCUGAGACGCGAAAGCGUGGGGAGCAAACAG
RNAcentral lists this ribosomal RNA (251 nucleotides) under uncultured prokaryote. RNAcentral describes it as "partial 16S rRNA". It matches the Rfam family "Bacterial small subunit ribosomal RNA", at positions 525 to 775 of the family's 1533-position model. The record is from RNAcentral.